Long non-coding RNA from Siniperca chuatsi (mandarin fish), 1768 nucleotides. RefSeq lists it as uncharacterized. The transcript has 2 exons. The record is from RefSeq and is a predicted model, not a curated record. Lineage: Eukaryota; Metazoa; Chordata; Actinopteri; Centrarchiformes; Sinipercidae.
UAUGUAUGUGUGUGUAUGUAUAUAUGUAUGUGUGUGUAUGUAUAUAUAUAAAUAUAAAACAAUAAUUAUGAUGUUUUCCAGGCUCGCUUCCUGCUCUCCAAAGUGAACCCCUCCCAGACCCACAACAACAUGUACGCCUGGGGACAGGAGUCUGGAGCUCCCAUCCUGACAGAUGACGUCAGCCUGCAGGUGUUCAUGGAUCACCUGAAGAAACUCGCCGUCUCCAGCGCCGCCUGACCUGUCUGUGUUAUGUUUAUUCUUUUGUUUUGCAUUUGCUGCCUGAGUUCCCAUGACAACCAGUCAACCAACUAACUAACAAGCCAACACUGCCUGAAGUUACCUGUUAUCGUCCUAGUAUCAGCCAAUCAGCAGCAGGUUCAGAACAAUGACAGCCAAUAGAGACGCAUGUUAAACAUCCAGUUAGCAUUAAACCCUGUUGACGGCUGCUGUGUCACAUUUCUGCUUCACAGAAUUACGUUUUUACACCUGCAGCCCCGUAACGUGUUCAAAUGAAACAACCUGAGGAGCAAAAGUCAGUUUGGUUGCUCUUAUAGACGUGAUGCUUCAUUUUAAAGGAGCAGAUCAGCAGUUUUCCAUGUUUCAGCCUGGUUAUUACACAUCACAUACACUUUACAUCACUGCUAAACAUGUUAUAAACCAUGCUGCUGUUUCAGAAAGUAAAGGUAUGUAGUUUUUAUUGUCAUUAUAUAUUUAUCUAUAUUUCUCUGAUGAAUUAUUUAGACCUAUACAAUUCUCCCUGUGAUAUUUAAAACUGAGCCCAAGUUAUUGUAGAGCUCGCGCUCCAUGUACAAGGCCGUGUCCUUACCGCAGUGGCCCGAAAUUCAAAUGUCUAUUAGCAUUAGCUUAGCACAGCAGAUGCAGGUGAGCAAUCUGAUUGGUGCAAAUUAACAACUGAUCUAAUCAAUUGAUCAACAAAUCGUUUCCAUUUUAAUUCUGUUUCAGGCUUCCAUUGGUUUCCAUUCAUUUCUAUAUCAAAUCUGUUGAAACCUGAGUCGUGUCGUCGUCACAUUAAAACAUUGAGUCUGCUUUCAUUUUUGUUUUGUUAUUGUUAUUAAGUAAUUACUGCAGACUUUAUGAAGUUUCCAAGAGAUUUUAAUAACUUAUAGAAACCAAAAGCUGCCUGGAGAAGUACAUUCAAAAAUCUAAAACUCUACAGCAGCCGUUUGAAAACCGUCAUCGUGUAAAGUCCGUUUGUGAUUUCAGGAGCUGGAAGUUGCGAACACGCCGGUCUGCUCCUUUAAAGGUUAUAAUAAUAAUAAUAAUAAUAAUAAUAAUAAUAAUCCAGCAUGUUAGUGAAACAGCUGACCUCCGGUCUGCUGCGCUUUCUGUUAAUCCAACAGUUGCACACAUUUCAAGCAGUUUUCCAAAAUGAGCAAAAGAUGUUUGAGUGUUUUAUAACUUAAAAAACAAAAAUAGAAGAUGAAAUAAAUGAAAAUGAUUUUCAUACAGCGUCUGUUUCUGUGUAUCUUCCCUCUGUUAGCUGUCAUGUUGACUGAUGUGAGAUCAGAUCAUCUUUGCUGAACGACUGCAGUCAGAAAAUCGACAAGCAAAGAAACAACAGAGUCUGAAGGAAACUUGGACUCAUUUUGAAUCAUCACAGCAGUUUGAAAACUUAUUGAUCAUAUUGUUGGUUGUUGAGUUUCUCUUUGAAGCCAUUUAACACUAAAAGUCCUGCAGAGAGGAGACGAGUUUAUGUUUUCAUUGAGUCUUUAUUCUCAUGUUUCUAAUAAAACUCUGCUGUGGAGAA